CCUACGGGAGGCAGCAGUGGGGAAUAUUGCACAAUGGGGGAAACCCUGAUGCAGCGACGCCGCGUGAAGGAAGAAGUAUUUCGGUAUGUAAACUUCUAUCAGCAGGGAAGAAAAUGACGGUACCUGACUAAGAAGCCCCGGCUAACUACGUGCCAGCAGCCGCGGUAAUACGUAGGGGGCAAGCGUUAUCCGGAUUUACUGGGUGUAAAGGGAGCGUAGGCGGUUGAGCAAGUCAGAAGUGAAAGCCCGGGGCUCAACUCCGGGACUGCUUUUGAAACUGUUGAACUAGAGUGCAGGAGAGGUAAGUGGAAUUCCUAGUGUAGCGGUGAAAUGCGUAGAUAUUAGGAGGAACACCAGUGGCGAAGGCGGCUUACUGGACUGUAAAUGACGCUGAGGCUCGAAAGCGUGGGGAGCAAACAGGAUUAGAUACCCUUGUAGUC
RNAcentral lists this ribosomal RNA (440 nucleotides) under uncultured bacterium. RNAcentral describes it as "partial 16S ribosomal RNA". It matches the Rfam family "Bacterial small subunit ribosomal RNA", at positions 338 to 795 of the family's 1533-position model. The record is from RNAcentral.